GGGAUUGCCCUAGUAACGGCGAGCGAAGCGGCAACAGCUCAAAUUUGAAAUCUGGCUAUUUUGUAGUCCGAGUUGUAAUUUGUAGAGGAUGCUUUUGGUGAGGUGCCUUCCGAGUUCCCUGGAACGGGACGCCAGAGAGGGUGAGAGCCCCGUACGGUUGGAUACCAAACCUUUGUAUAGCUCCUUCGACGAGUCGAGUAGUUUGGGAAUGCUGCUCUAAAUGGGAGGUAUAUCUCUUCUAAAGCUAAAUAUAGGCUAGAGACCGAUAGCGCACAAGUAGAGUGAUCGAAAGAUGAAAAGCACUUUGAAAAGAGAGUUAAACAGCACGUGAAAUUGUUGAAAGGGAAGCGCCUAUGACCAGACUUGUUUCUUUCAGUUUUGUUAGUUUUCGGACUGAUUUACUCUGUUAGUACAGGCCAGCAUCAGUUUGUUGUCAGGGAGAAAGGCUUAGGGAAUGUGGCUCUUUCGGGAGUGUUAUAGCCCUUUGCAUAAUACCUUUCGGCAGACUGAGGACCGCGCUUCGGCAAGGAUGCUGGCGUAAUGGUCAUCAGCGACCCGUCUUGAAACACGGACCAAGGAGUCAACCUUAUGUGCGAGUGUUUGGGUGUAAAACCCCAGCGCGUAAUGAACGUGAACGUAGGUGAGAGCUUCGGCGCAUCAUCGACCGAUUCUGAUGUUCUCGGGAUGGAUUUGAGUAAGAGCACACAGGGUUGGAGCCGAAAGAAAGUGAACUAUGCUUGUAUAGGGUGAAGCCAGAGGAAACUCUGGUGGAGGCUCGCAGCGGUUCUGACGUGCAAAUCGAUCGUCAA
RNAcentral lists this ribosomal RNA (809 nucleotides) under Berkeleyomyces rouxiae. RNAcentral's name for it is "partial 28S rRNA". It matches the Rfam family "Eukaryotic large subunit ribosomal RNA", at positions 71 to 908 of the family's 3401-position model. Lineage: Eukaryota; Fungi; Ascomycota; Sordariomycetes; Microascales; Ceratocystidaceae. The record is from RNAcentral.